This 229-nucleotide ribosomal RNA is filed under the name uncultured bacterium. RNAcentral describes it as "partial 16S ribosomal RNA". It matches the Rfam family "Bacterial small subunit ribosomal RNA", at positions 104 to 334 of the family's 1533-position model. The record is from RNAcentral.
CGGGGUGAGUAAUGUCUGGGAAACUGCCUGAUGGAGGGGGAUAACUGCUGGAAACGGUAGCUAAUACCGCAUAACGUCGCAAGACCAAAGAGGGGGACCUUCGGGCCUCUUGCCAUCGGAUGUGCCCAGAUGGGAUUAGCUAGUAGGUGGGGUAACGGCUCACCUAGGCGACGAUCCCUAGCUGGUCUGAGAGGAUGGCCAGCCACACUGUAACUGAGACACGGUCCAG